CCUACGGGAGACAGCAGUAGGGAAUAUUGCUCAAUGGGGGAAACCCUGAAGCAGCAACGCCGCGUGGAGGAUGAAGGUUUUCGGAUUUUAAACCCCUUUUGUUAUAGGAGAAAAUGACGGUAUCUAAACAAUAAGCACCGGAUAACUCCAUGCCAGCAGCGGCGGUAAUACGGAGGGUGCAAGCGUUACUCGGAAUCACUGGGCGUAAAGAGCGCGUAGGCGGGCUAACAAGUCAGAUGUGAAAUGCUAUGGCUUAACCAUAGAACUGCAUUUGAAACUGUUAGUCUAGAGUAUGGGAGAGGUAGGUGGAAUUCUUGGUGUAGGGGUAAAAUGCGUAGAUAUCAAGAGGAACACUCAUUGCGAAGGCGGCUUGCUAGACCAUAACUGACGCUGAUGCGCGAAAGCGUGGGGAGCAAACAGGAUUAGAUACCCUUGUAGUC
RNAcentral lists this ribosomal RNA (440 nucleotides) under uncultured bacterium. RNAcentral's name for it is "partial 16S ribosomal RNA". It matches the Rfam family "Bacterial small subunit ribosomal RNA", at positions 338 to 795 of the family's 1533-position model. The record is from RNAcentral.